GAAACGCCCGGUCCCAUUCCGAACCCGGAAGCUAAGGCCACCUGCGCCGAUGGUACUGCACUCGACAGGGUGUGGGAGAGUAGGACACCGCCGGAA
Molecule: ribosomal RNA, 96 nt
Filed under: Nocardia sp.
Lineage: Bacteria; Bacillati; Actinomycetota; Actinomycetes; Mycobacteriales; Nocardiaceae
Also listed under: 3 other names
Source: RNAcentral